ACGAGAGAAUGCUAGCUUGCUAAUAAUUCUCUAGUGGCGCACGGGUGAGUAACACGUGAGUAACCUGCCCCCGAGAGCGGGAUAGCCCUGGGAAACUGGGAUUAAUACCGCAUAGUAUCGAAAGAUUAAAGCAGCAAUGCGCUUGGGGAUGGGCUCGCGGCCUAUUAGUUAGUUGGUGAGGUAACGGCUCACCAAGGCGAUGACGGGUAGCCGGUCUGAGAGGAUGUCCGGCCACACUGGAACUGAGACACGGUCCAGACACCUACGGGUGGCAGCAGUCGAGAAUCAUUCACAAUGGGGGAAACCCUGAUGGUGCGACGCCGCGUGGGGGAAUGAAGGUCUUCGGAUUGUAAACCCCUGUCAUGUGGGAGCAAAUUAAAAAGAUAGUACCACAAGAGGAAGAGACGGCUAACUCUGUGCCAGCAGCCGCGGUAAUACAGAGGUCUCAAGCGUUGUUCGGAAUCACUGGGCGUAAAGCGUGCGUAGGCUGUUUCGUAAGUCGUGUGUGAAAGGCGCGGGCUCAACCCGCGGACGGCACAUGAUACUGCGAGACUAGAGUAAUGGAGGGGGAACCGGAAUUCUCGGUGUAGCAGUGAAAUGCGUAGAUAUCGAGAGGAACACUCGUGGCGAAGGCGGGUUCCUGGACAUUAACUGACGCUGAGGCACGAAGGCCAGGGGAGCGAAAGGGAUUAGAUACCCCUGUAGUCCUGGCAGUAAACGGUGCACGCUUGGUGUGCGGGGAAUCGACCCCCUGCGUGCCGGAGCUAACGCGUUAAGCGUGCCGCCUGGGGAGUACGGUCGCAAGAUUAAAACUCAAAGAAAUUGACGGGGACCCGCACAAGCGGUGGAGUAUGUGGCUUAAUUCGAUGCAAC
This 873-nucleotide ribosomal RNA is filed under the name uncultured bacterium. Its description in RNAcentral is "bacterial SSU rRNA". It matches the Rfam family "Bacterial small subunit ribosomal RNA", at positions 66 to 960 of the family's 1533-position model. The record is from RNAcentral.